RNAcentral lists this ribosomal RNA (492 nucleotides) under uncultured bacterium. RNAcentral's name for it is "partial 16S ribosomal RNA". It matches the Rfam family "Bacterial small subunit ribosomal RNA", at positions 29 to 507 of the family's 1533-position model. The record is from RNAcentral.
AGUGAACGCUGGCGGUAGGCCUAACACAUGCAAGUCGAACGGCAGCACAGUAAGAGCUUGCUCUUACGGGUGGCGAGUGGCGGACGGGUGAGGAAUACAUCGGAAUCUACUUUUUCGUGGGGGAUAACGUAGGGAAACUUACGCUAAUACCGCAUACGACCUACGGGUGAAAGCAGGAGAUCUUCGGACCUUGCGCGAUUGAAUGAGCCGAUGUCGGAUUAGCUAGUUGGCGGGGUAAAGGCCCACCAAGGCGACGAUCCGUAGCUGGUCUGAGAGGAUGAUCAGCCACACUGGAACUGAGACACGGUCCAGACUCCUACGGGAGGCAGCAGUGGGGAAUAUUGGACAAAGGGCGCAAGCCUGAUCCAGCCAUACCGCGUGAGUGAAGAAGGCCUUCGGGUUGUAAAGCCCUUUUGUUGGGAAAGAAAAGCAGCAGGUUAAUACCCCGCUGUUCUGACGGUACCCAAAGAAUAAGCACCGGCUAACUUCGUG